Molecule: unclassified non-coding RNA, 352 nt
Filed under: soil metagenome
Description: partial contains 5.8S ribosomal RNA, internal transcribed spacer 2, and large subunit ribosomal RNA
Rfam family: 5.8S ribosomal RNA (bases 1-120)
Source: RNAcentral
GAUGAAGAACGUAGCGAAAUGCGAAAAGUAAUGUGAAUUGCUGAAUUCAGUGAAUCAUCGAAUCUUUGAACGCACAUUGCGCCCGCUGGUACUCCGGCGGGCACGCCUGUCCGAGCGUCAUUUCAACCCUCAAGCCCUCCUUCGGGAUGGGCCUGGUGUUGGGGCUCGGCCGCCAUCUCCGGCGGCCGUCCCCUAAAUACAGUGGCGGUCACGUCGCGACUCCUUUGCGUAGUAGAAACACCUCGCUCCGGAUAGCAACGCGGUCCACGCCGUAAAACCCCCAAUUUUCAAUGGUUGACCUCGGAUCAGGUGGGAAUACCCGCUGAACUUAAGCAUAUCAAUAAGCGGAGGA